GAACGCUAGCGAUAGGCUUAACACAUGCAAGUCGAGGGGCAGCACGGGAUAGCUUGCUAUCUGGGUGGCGACCGGCGCACGGGUGCGUAACGCGUAUCAAACCUGCCUCAUACUCGGGGAUAGCCUUGCGAAAGUAAGAUUAAUACCCGAUGUUGUUAUGUUACCGCAUGGUGAUAUAACCAAAGAUUUAUCGGUAUGAGAUGGUGAUGCGUCCGAUUAGGUAGUAGGCGGGGUAACGGCCCACCUAGCCAUCGAUCGGUAGGGGUUCUGAGAGGAAGGUCCCCCACACUGGAACUGAGACACGGUCCAGACUCCUACGGGAGGCAGCAGUGAGGAAUAUUGGUCAAUGGACGGAAGUCUGAACCAGCCAAGUAGCGUGCAGGAUGACGGCCCUCUGGGUUGUAAACUGCUUUUAGUUGGGAAUAAAAAAGAGGACGUGUCCUCUAUUGUAUGUACCUUCAGAAAAAGGACCGGCUAAUUCCGUGCCAGCAGCCGCGGUAAUACGGAAGGUCCAGGCGUUAUCCGGAUUUAUUGGGUUUAAAGGGAGCGUAGGCGGAUUAUUAAGUCAGUGGUGAAAGACGGUGGCUCAACCAUCGUUAGCCAUUGAAACUGGUAGUCUUGAGUGCAGACAGGGAUGCUGGAACUCGUGGUGUAGCGGUGAAAUGCUUAGAUAUCACGAUGAACUCCGAUCGCGAAGGCAGGUGUCCGGGCUGCAACUGACGCUGAGGCUCGAAAGUGUGGGUAUCAAACAGGAUUAGAUACCCUGGUAGUCCACACAGUAAACGAUGUAUACUCGCGGUUUGCGAUAUAUUGUAAGCCGCCAAGCGAAAGCAUUAAGUAUACCACCUGGGGAGUACGCCGGCAACGGGA
This 870-nucleotide ribosomal RNA is filed under the name uncultured bacterium. RNAcentral describes it as "bacterial SSU rRNA". It matches the Rfam family "Bacterial small subunit ribosomal RNA", at positions 31 to 896 of the family's 1533-position model. The record is from RNAcentral.